AUUGAACGCUGGCGGCAUGCUUUACACAUGCAAGUCGAACGGCAGCGCGGGCUUCGGCCUGGCGGCGAGUGGCGAACGGGUGAGUAAUGCAUCGGAACGUGCCCAGUAGUGGGGGAUAGCCCGGCGAAAGCCGGAUUAAUACCGCAUACGACCUGAGGGUGAAAGCGGGGGACCGAAAGGCCUCGCGCUAUUGGAGCGGCCGAUGUCGGAUUAGCUAGUUGGUGGGGUAAAGGCUUACCAAGGCGACGAUCCGUAGCUGGUCUGAGAGGACGACCAGCCACACUGGGACUGAGGCACGGCCCAGACUCCUACGGGAGGCAGCAGUGGGGAAUUUUGGACAAAGGGGGCAACCCUGAUCCAGCCAUGCCGCGUGCGGGAAGAAGGCCUUCGGGUUGUAAACCGCUUUUGUUCGGGAAGAAAUCCUCUGGGCUAAUACCCCGGGGGGAUGACGGUACCGGAAGAAUAAGCACCGGCUAACUACGUG
Molecule: ribosomal RNA, 484 nt
Filed under: uncultured bacterium
Lineage: Bacteria
Description: partial 16S ribosomal RNA
Rfam family: Bacterial small subunit ribosomal RNA
Source: RNAcentral